RNAcentral lists this unclassified non-coding RNA (332 nucleotides) under soil metagenome. RNAcentral describes it as "partial contains 5.8S ribosomal RNA, internal transcribed spacer 2, and large subunit ribosomal RNA". The stretch from base 1 to 120 matches the Rfam family "5.8S ribosomal RNA", at positions 35 to 154 of the family's 154-position model. The record is from RNAcentral.
GAUGAAGAACGCAGUGAAAUGCGAUAAGUAAUGUGAAUUGCAGAAUUCAGUGAAUCAUCGAAUCUUUGAACGCACAUUGCGCCCGCUAGUAUUCUGGCGGGCAUGCCUGUUCGAGCGUCAUUUCAACCAUCAAGCCCUAGGCUUGCGUUGGAGCCCUGCGGCUGCCGCAGGCUCCCAAAUCCAGUGGCGGGCUCGUCGUCGUACCGAGUGCAGUAAACAUCCUCGCUCAGGGAACGUGACGGGUUCUUGCCGUGAAACCCCCCACAUAUCAAGGUUGACCUCGGAUCAGGUAGGAAUACCCGCUGAACUUAAGCAUAUCAAUAAGCGGAGGA